Zootermopsis nevadensis is the source of this 997-nucleotide long non-coding RNA. RefSeq lists it as uncharacterized. NCBI's taxonomy places the organism in Eukaryota, Metazoa, Arthropoda, Insecta, Blattodea, Termopsidae. The record is from RefSeq and is a predicted model, not a curated record.
UCAGUCAUGGCGUCGCGGUAGGAAUAGGUGAAGUGUGUGUUGUGGUACGCGGGAUCAAAGUCUGUGGUAACUGCUCAGAGAAAUUUUAUGCGGUUGUAUCCAAAAGAUGCUCCAACUGAUAAGUCUAUACAUAAAUGGUACCAACACUUCCAAAAAAAAAUCCAGCAUUGUCGUGAAAGGACAUUCACCAGAUAACUGAACUUGACGGGCUCACUUUCUAACAAGAUGGUGCACCACCCCACUUUGGUACCACUGUACGCACUGCUCUGGACGAGCAAUUUCCUGGUCGAUGGAUCAGCAGAGCAGAGCCGAUUUAUUGGGCCCCCACGGAGUUCUUCUGGGGGUACAUCAAAGCGAGAGGCUGGAGUCUCCUCCCGAUUUGCGCCAUAGGAUUAUAUCAGCUAUCGCUGAGGUGACUGUGUAUGUGUUAUCUCGGGUGUGGGGUUAAGUGAAAUUUCGUUUCGACCUCUGUAGGGCCGUCAGUUGUGCUCACAUUGAAUUGCACUAAAUGACACUAAAACGUGACGAGAUUCCCUACUAAUUUUUGUAUAAAUAUUUAUAACAAACUCCGGAGUUCUCUCUUGGACACCCUGUACUUAGCAGAUAUGAAAACUCUAAGCAGACGGCUUUCCACUCUACUAUGUUACUGAUAUGUGGUUAAUGUUGUUGGCAUGUGGGCUACUUGGUUAUUAUAUUACACUGUGUCUACUUUUGAGAUUCUGUAGUGUUCAAUCGCAUGACAUAAUGGCUAUGGAUGAUGACUUGGGAGGAAACAGUCAUGGCUUACUUUAAGCUGCUAUCUUGGCACUAAUUUAUUCAAUGACAUUUUACCCAACUACCAAUUGGAAGUUAAUGCAGAACUGUGAUAAAUAUAAAUUUAUUUAUAAGAGACAUACUACUUGUCUAUUAUCAAGCAUGUUUUGUGUUGCCUGUUGACUUAAAUAGUAUUUCUGGAGCCCUCCCGAAAGGUCUGAAUAAAACAAACAAAACAUUCAGA